CCUACGGGUGGCAGCAGUGGGGGAUAUUGCACAAUGGGGGGAACCCUGAUGCAGCGACGCCGCGUGGGUGAAGAAGCGCCUCGGCGCGUAAAGCCCUGUCAGCAGGGAAGAAAAUGACGGUACCUGAAGAAGAAGCCCCGGCGAACUACGGGCCAGCAGCCGCGGUAAAACGUAGGGGGCAAGCGUUAUCCGGAUUUACUGGGUGUAAAGGGGGCGCAGACGGCGAGGCAAGCCAGGAGUGAAAGCCCGGGUCCCAACCCCGGGACUGCUCUGGAAACUGCGUGGCUGGAGGGCAGGAGGGGCAGGCGGAAUUCCUGGUGUAGCGGUGAAAUGCGUAGAUAUCAGGAGGAACACCGGUGGCGAAGGCGGCCUGCUGGACUGCAACUGACGUUGAGGCCCGAAAGCGUGGGGAGCAAACAGGAUUAGAUACCCCAGUAGUC
This 440-nucleotide ribosomal RNA is filed under the name uncultured bacterium. RNAcentral's name for it is "partial 16S ribosomal RNA". It matches the Rfam family "Bacterial small subunit ribosomal RNA", at positions 338 to 795 of the family's 1533-position model. The record is from RNAcentral.